Molecule: long non-coding RNA, 743 nt
Filed under: Camelus dromedarius (Arabian camel)
Lineage: Eukaryota; Metazoa; Chordata; Mammalia; Artiodactyla; Camelidae
Description: lncRNA (ENSCDRG00005003572.1)
Source: RNAcentral
AUGGUUUAGUGUUUUGAAAGGGUGUAUAUAGACUUAGUUGAGCAGCAGUAUAAUCCCAUCUGACUGGCUGAAUGAUAUAUUAUCAUGUUGUAUUUUUUAACUUCCAGAGAUUUGGAAAUUGAGGCAUAGAGAGGGGAAAUCAACGAAUUUCAAGGCCAGGACAAGUGUUUGUAAGAGACAGAAACCAUUGUAAGACAACGGAUGGAAAUAGCAGAAUUUAUGGAAUGUGAUUCUUGUCGAAAAUGUGCCCGUUAAGUCUACUCUCAGCAAGGAAUCUUUAUGGAUCUCUGCCGAAGGCAUUGGCCCAACCUGAAAGGACAACAAAUAUAUUCCUAUUGCCAUGGGGGCAUAGAAGACCAUGCUGGGUGAACCAGCUGGUGGUGCAGCCGUGUGGGUGUGGGCCUACGAUGAUCUUACUUGUCUCUCAUGGUGACGACAACACAGAAGUAAAAGAUGACGGACCUCAACAUCCCUUCAUAAACUGUAGAAGAUCUGGGCAUUUGUGGACAUGGUUUUGAUAUUCAAGAUUUCAAGACUUCUCUAUGGGCACCCAAGAUGCAGCCCAUGUGCUUAGCGGGAUCCGUACUAAGUCACAAACGUGAGCUGAUGUCUACGAGAGACCAGCUUUGGAAAGACCGUCACGUAGCACAUGCGAGAGCCCAGGGAACCACACGACACCCAUAUGAAAGCAAGAUUUUCCUCUUCUUGCUGUUAAACCCUGCAGAGAAACUCUCAAGAAGUAA